CCUGAUUGCAGAACAUUGCUGAUUACAGAAUCUUGGGUUGUGUCUCCCACCUCAUCUUUCCCUACCAUCCCAGAAGAUCUAUAAGGUUCCAUCUGGGAAAACACUAGAAGUUCUUGGAAGGGAAAGAAGGAAGAGGAUUACUGGUUGGAAUAAAA
RNAcentral lists this long non-coding RNA (155 nucleotides) under Sus scrofa (pig). RNAcentral's name for it is "lncRNA (ENSSSCG00070028852.1)". Lineage: Eukaryota; Metazoa; Chordata; Mammalia; Artiodactyla; Suidae. The record is from RNAcentral.